Molecule: ribosomal RNA, 120 nt
Filed under: Salinisphaera sp.
Lineage: Bacteria; Pseudomonadati; Pseudomonadota; Gammaproteobacteria; Salinisphaerales; Salinisphaeraceae
Description: partial 16S ribosomal RNA
Rfam family: Bacterial small subunit ribosomal RNA
Source: RNAcentral
AUUAAACUGGAGAGUUUGAUCCUGGCUCAGAUUGAACGCUGGCGGCAGGCCUAACACAUGCAAGUCGAGCGGAAACGACAUCUUCGGAUGGGCGUCGAGCGGCGGACGGGUGAGUAAUGC